Trichomalopsis sarcophagae is the source of this 45-nucleotide regulatory RNA element. It matches the Rfam family "Histone 3' UTR stem-loop". Rfam says of the family: The mRNAs of metazoan histone genes lack a poly-A tail. 3' end processing occurs at a site between a highly conserved stem-loop (modelled by this family) and a purine rich region around 20 nts downstream (the histone downstream element, or HDE). The stem-loop is bound by a 31 kDa stem-loop binding protein (SLBP - also termed the histone hairpin binding protein, or HBP). The record is from Rfam. Lineage: Eukaryota; Metazoa; Arthropoda; Insecta; Hymenoptera; Pteromalidae.
CAAUCGGCCCUUUUCAGGGCCACUAAUUUACUAUUUCAACGUCUA